RNAcentral lists this ribosomal RNA (531 nucleotides) under uncultured bacterium. RNAcentral's name for it is "bacterial SSU rRNA". It matches the Rfam family "Bacterial small subunit ribosomal RNA", at positions 28 to 526 of the family's 1533-position model. The record is from RNAcentral.
GACGAACGCUGGCGGCGUGCCUAAUACAUGCAAGUCGAGCGAGCGGAACUAACAGAUUUACUUCGGUAAUGACGUUAGGAAAGCGAGCGGCGGAUGGGUGAGUAACACGUGGGGAACCUGCCCCAUAGUCUGGGAUACCACUUGGAAACAGGUGCUAAUACCGGAUAAGAAAGCAGAUCGCAUGAUCAGCUUUUAAAAGGCGGCGUAAGCUGUCGCUAUGGGAUGGCCCCGCGGUGCAUUAGCUAGUUGGUAAGGUAAAGGCUUACCAAGGCGAUGAUGCAUAGCCGAGUUGAGAGACUGAUCGGCCACAUUGGGACUGAGACACGGCCCAAACUCCUACGGGAGGCAGCAGUAGGGAAUCUUCCACAAUGGACGCAAGUCUGAUGGAGCAACGCCGCGUGAGUGAAGAAGGUUUUCGGAUCGUAAAGCUCUGUUGUUGGUGAAGAAGGAUAGAGGUAGUAACUGGCCUUUAUUUGACGGUAAUCAACCAGAAAGUCACGGCUAACUACGUGCCAGCCGCCGCCGUAACAC